UGGCAGACGGGUGAGUAACGCGUGGGAAUAUACCUUUCGGUACGGAACAACAGUUGGAAACGACUGCUAAUACCGUAUGCGCCCUACGGGGGAAAGAUUUAUCGCCGAAGGAUUAGCCCGCGUUGGAUUAGCUAGUUGGUGGGGUAAAGGCCUACCAAGGCGACGAUCCAUAGCUGGUCUGAGAGGAUGAUCAGCCACACUGGGACUGAGACACGGCCCAGACUCCUACGGGAGGCAGCAGUGGGGAAUAUUGGACAAUGGGGGCAACCCUGAUCCAGCCAUGCCGCGUGAGUGAUGAAGGCCCUAGGGUUGUAAAGCUCUUUCAGCGAGGAGGAUAAUGACGUUACUCGCAGAAGAAGCCCCGGCUAACUUCGUGCCAGCAGCCGCGGUAAUACGAAGGGGGCUAGCGUUGUUCGGAAUAACUGGGCGUAAAGCGCACGUAGGCGGACUUUUAAGUCAGGGGUGAAAUCCCAGAGCUCAACUCUGGAACUGCCUUUGAUACUGGAAGUCUUGAGUCCGAGAGAGGUGAGUGGAACUCCGAGUGUAGAGGUGAAAUUCGUAGAUAUUCGGAAGAACACCAGUGGCGAAGGCGGCUCACUG
Molecule: ribosomal RNA, 600 nt
Filed under: Roseibium alexandrii
Lineage: Bacteria; Pseudomonadati; Pseudomonadota; Alphaproteobacteria; Hyphomicrobiales; Stappiaceae
Description: bacterial SSU rRNA
Rfam family: Bacterial small subunit ribosomal RNA
Source: RNAcentral